Molecule: ribosomal RNA, 498 nt
Filed under: uncultured bacterium
Lineage: Bacteria
Description: partial 16S ribosomal RNA
Rfam family: Bacterial small subunit ribosomal RNA
Source: RNAcentral
AUUGAACGCUGGCGGCAUGCCUUACACAUGCAAGUCGAACGGUAACAGGUCUUCGGAUGCUGACGAGUGGCGAACGGGUGAGUAAUACAUCGGAACGUGCCCGAUCGUGGGGGAUAACGAAGCGAAAGCUUUGCUAAUACCGCAUAAGAUCUAAGGAUGAAAGCAGGGGACCGCAAGGCCUUGCGCGAACGGAGCGGCCGAUGGCAGAUUAGGUAGUUGGUGGGAUAAAAGCUUACCAAGCCGACGAUCUGUAGCUGGUCUGAGUGGACGACCAGCCACACUGGGACUGAGACACGGCCCAGACUCCUACGGGAGGCAGCAGUGGGGAAUUUUGGACAAUGGGCGAAAGCCUGAUUCAGCAAUGCCGCGUGCAGGAAGAAGGCCUUCGGGUUGUAAACUGCUUUUGUACGGAGCGAAAAGGUCUCCUCUAAUACAGGGGGCUCAUGACGGUACCGUAAGAAUAAGCACCGGCUAACUACGUGCCAGCCGCCGCAGUAA